This 1264-nucleotide ribosomal RNA is filed under the name Fusarium proliferatum. RNAcentral's name for it is "SSU rRNA". It matches the Rfam family "Eukaryotic small subunit ribosomal RNA", at positions 104 to 1378 of the family's 1831-position model. Lineage: Eukaryota; Fungi; Ascomycota; Sordariomycetes; Hypocreales; Nectriaceae. The record is from RNAcentral.
UAUAAGUUAUCGUUUAUUUGAUAGUACCUUACUACUUGGAUAACCGUGGUAAUUCUAGAGCUAAUACAUGCUAAAAAUCCCGACUUCGGAAGGGAUGUAUUUAUUAGAUUAAAAACCAAUGCCCUUCGGGGCUCACUGGUGAUUCAUGAUAACUCCUCGAAUCGCAUGGCCUUGUGCCGGCGAUGGUUCAUUCAAAUUUCUUCCCUAUCAACUUUCGAUGUUUGGGUAUUGGCCAAACAUGGUUGCAACGGGUAACGGAGGGUUAGGGCUCGACCCCGGAGAAGGAGCCUGAGAAACGGCUACUACAUCCAAGGAAGGCAGCAGGGGCGCAAAUUACCCAAUCCCGACGCGGGGAGGUAGUGACAAUAAAUACUGAUACAGGGCUCUUUUGGGUCUUGUAAUUGGAAUGAGUACAAUUUAAAUCCCUUAACGAGGAACAAUUGGAGGGCAAGUCUGGUGCCAGCACCCGCGGUAAUUCCAGCUCCAAUAGCGUAUAUUAAAGUUGUUGUGGUUAAAAAGCUCGUAGUUGAACCUUGGGCCUGGCUGGCCGGUCCGCCUCACCGCGUGUACUGGUCCGGCCGGGCCUUUCCCUCUGUGGAACCCCAUGCCCUUCACUGGGUGUGGCGGGGAAACAGGACUUUUACUGUGAAAAAAUUAGAGUGCUCCAGGCAGGCCUAUGCUCGAAUACAUUAGCAUGGAAUAAUAGAAUAGGACGUGUGGUUCUAUUUUGUUGGUUUCUAGGACCGCCGUAAUGAUUAAUAGGGACAGUCGGGGGCAUCAGUAUUCAAUUGUCAGAGGUGAAAUUCUUGGAUUUAUUGAAGACUAACUACUGCGAAAGCAUUUGCCAAGGAUGUUUUCAUUAAUCAGGAACGAAAGUUAGGGGAUCGAAGACGAUCAGAUACCGUCGUAGUCUUAACCAUAAACUAUGCCGACUAGGGAUCGGACGGUGUUAUUUUUUGACCCGUUCGGCACCUUACGAGAAAUCAAAGUGCUUGGGCUCCAGGGGGAGUAUGGUCGCAAGGCUGAAACUUAAAGAAAUUGACGGAAGGGCACCACCAGGGGUGGAGCCUGCGGCUUAAUUUGACUCAACACGGGGAAACUCACCAGGUCCAGACACAAUGAGGAUUGACAGAUUGAGAGCUCUUUCUUGAUUUUGUGGGUGGUGGUGCAUGGCCGUUCUUAGUUGGUGGAGUGAUUUGUCUGCUUAAUUGCGAUAACGAACGAGACCUUAACCUGCUAAAUAGCCCGUAUUGCUUUGGCAGUA